Molecule: long non-coding RNA, 2549 nt
Filed under: Ananas comosus (pineapple)
Lineage: Eukaryota; Viridiplantae; Streptophyta; Magnoliopsida; Poales; Bromeliaceae
Description: long non-coding RNA (ACOM_LNC025709)
Source: RNAcentral
UAGUGAAGUUAUCCGCGCAUUACGGCGGAAUGAUACUAUAGAAUAUAAAAUAUAAAUAAAAUAAAAAUUUUAAAUUUUUUGAUUUGAUAUGGGACUUCAAUAAACACAAAUAUAAAAUAUAAAAUAGAUAUAUGUAUAGAUAUAACAAAAUUUAUAAUUUUGAUAAAUAAAUCACACAUAAUAAUAAUAAAAUAAGCAAUAAAUUUUUUUUUUACCCCAUACACAUCUUCAUUGCACUAUCGACAUCGAAGAGGCAAAUUUCGAUCUUUACGUCGCCUUCACCGCUAGUGUCCAGCUCCUCUUUAGUCACGACCAUAUCAAUCCCGUAUCCACAUCCACUGCUUCUUCCCUCUCACUGACUCCAAAUCCAUCACCGUUUUCUUCUGCAGCGCUCCGUCGCGAUCCUCGAAACCCUAAUUUCAAUUCACACACAACAAAAAAUUUUAAAAAGUUACAAAACAUGAGCCCUUUUUGUGCGCCAAGAAAAAAAGAAAAAAAAGAUAUGAAGAAAUAGAGAUUAAACCAUGUAAAUAUAUUAAUUGAGAGAUAAGGGGGAGAAAAAAAACAAUAUGAAAAAAAAGAUAUGAAGAAAUGGAGAUGAAACCAUGUAAACAUAUUAAUUGAGAGAUAGGGGGGUUAGGAAGAUGAAGCAUUGGGUGGAGAUGGUAUUAUGUAAACACAUUAAUUGAGUGGGGGUUUAGGAAGAUGAAACAUUGGGUGAAAAUGAGAGUGGAAAGGGAGAAGAGAAAAGAGUGAAGGAGAAAUCGCCACAUGACAAAAAAUUAGGAAAAAUAAUGUAUAAGUAUAGAAGUAUAGAAGUAUAGAAGUACAGAAGUAUAGAAGUAUAGAUAUAGAUAUAGAUAAUAAUAAUAAACGUGACCAUGUAUAUGUAUAAAUAUAAUAAUUAUUGUAAUAUAUAAGAGGUUUAGUAUGAAGGACCCACACAUAAAUUUAUGAGUCAGCAUUGUAGUGUUAUUGAAAUAAAGAUACCUGCCACAUGUGUGCUAUGCUUUUGGUCACCCAAAAGGCCAAAAAAUUAUAGCUCAACCCCACAAUUAUUUGGCUUAGCUUUUAAGCAAAUAUAGGGAGUGUUUGGCCUACCUUUUAAAAAGCGUUUUUGGAUUGAAAAGUAAUUUUUGGCUCAAUAGAGAGCUUGGCAAUCUCAUUUUAAAAAUCUGAUUCUGCUACUCAGAAUUAAAAAACUAAUUUGGAAGGCCCAAAAAUCAGAAGCAGAAAAAAAUUGCUUCUUGAAAUCUGAUUCUGAUUUUGGACUCAAACUUUAAAUUUUUAAUUUCAUUUUAAAUUCAAUGUUUAAAUUUAAAUUUAAUUUUAAAUUUUAAUUUUCAGAUUCAUUUUUGAAUUUUUAAAUUUUAACUUUUAAAAUUUAAAAUUUGAAAAAUAGAUUUCAAACUUUAAAAUUUUAAUUUUAAUUNUUUUUAAAAUUUAAAAUUUAAAAUUUUAAAAUUCAAAUUUUAAAUAUUCAAAUUUAAAUUUUAAAUUUUAAAUUUUAAUUUUUUAAUAUUCAAAUUUUAAAUUUUAAAUUUUAAAUUUUAAAUUUUAAAUUAUUUUUUUAAUUUAAAUUUUAAAUUUUAAAUUUUGUACAAUUUUGAAAUUUAAAAAUUUUAAUUUAAUUCAAAUUUAAAUUUAGAUUUUAAAUUAUUUUAAAAUAAAAUUUGAUAAAAAUAUUAAUUUAUGUAAAUAUUAAAAAACUUUUGCCAAACAGCUUUUCAAAAUCACUUCAGCAAAAUCACUUUUAUCUAAACUCGGCCAAACGCUCUACAGCUUUUAACCAAAAUUAUUUCUCCAAACCAAAAUUAUUUUUUCAAAAAUCACUUCUUCAAAAGCUAGGCCGAACGGGCCCAUAGUUGUCUAAGUAAUCUACUAUGCCUUUUUAGCUCCAAGAUUUAAUUAAUAAUUUUCAUGAUAAUAUGAUUUGUUAAUAAUUCUAAUGUUUAACUAGUGAAGUUACCCGCGCAUUGCGGCGGACUGAUACUAUAAGAGACAGGAGAUUGACAAACUAAAAUAUUUUAAAAUUUUUUCACUUGUAUUAAGAAAUCAAUAAAUACAAAUAAAAGAUAUGAAAUAGAUAUAACAACAUUUAUAAUUUCAACAAAUAAAUUAUACGCAAUAAUAAAAAAAAAAAAAGCAAUAGAACACUACUCCAUACGCACCUUAAUUGUGUUGCUGAUAUCGAAAAGGUGAAUCUUGAUCUCCACUUCUCAUUCACCGUCAUUAUCAGCGUCGAGUUUCUGUUUAAUCACGACAAUACAUAUCUUUUUUUUUUUAUAAUAUUGAUUUAUUUAGAUGACAAUGAAUGUGAACAUAUUAAUUAAGAAAUGGACACGUGAGAAGACGAAACAUCACGCGAAGAUAAAAGAUAAUAAAUUCGAUCAUUAGGAAUUAGGAAGAAGGCAAUAGAAGGCAAGGAUGGGAGAAGAAGGCAAGGAUGAAGGAGACUUUGCUAUAUGGCAAAGUUUAUGAGGAAUAAUGUAUAGGUAUAGAUAUAGAUUCUGGUGUUUGGUGAAUAGUUCUCAAAAAGAUGGAAGAAC